This 950-nucleotide unclassified non-coding RNA is filed under the name Hevea brasiliensis (rubber tree). The record is from RNAcentral. Lineage: Eukaryota; Viridiplantae; Streptophyta; Magnoliopsida; Malpighiales; Euphorbiaceae.
GUUUCAAUACAUUUCCAUAGAUAAUUUUCAUCAGUUUUUAUAUACACUCGAAUACAUUGUUAUGCACUCGUAAUAACGAAAGCAAUAGAUUCCACAAGGCAUAAGCACACAAUGUUUCUAAUGCAAAGAAAUUCUCAAUCCACAAACUUCACUAUACGACUUUUAUAACAGUGAUACAAAUCUAGUAUUUUCCACUUCAAAAACAUCCAAGGAGUGGUUUCUUUGGAGAACUUCCAGUGGCCCGACAUUUUGCUGCCAUCUCCUCUGCGGUAAGAAGAUCUUCUCCACGUUUAGCUUCAAUCAUCGCUCUCUUUUCUUCUGCUUCCUUGUGGAGUAGAGCAAUUUUGUUUUUCAUUUUCUCAGUAUAUAUUGCCUUCUUUUUCUCCAACUGUUCCUCCAUCUUUUUGAGCUCAGACUCUAGGUUUGCUUUCUUGCUGUUCUCCCAUGCACCAAUUGCAGACACCUUCUUCUGAGCUUUGUUUUCGGCUUUUGAUUUCUCACUUUCUUCCCAUGCUUUGAUGAGUGAUAGCCUCUUCUCAGUUGCAACGCGUGCAAGCACAGCAUCUCUAUCAAUAGAUCCCUCUUUUUUCUCAUCAGCAGCUUCUUCUGCUUUAUUUUCGACAACAACUAGUGCUUUCGAGUCAUCGGGUUUUUCUUUUUCUUCUGCAGGAGGAGGCGGAGCUGGUUCAACUAUGGCUUUCUCAUCAGCCACCACUUCUUUAGGAGCUUCAACUGGUUCUUGUGCAGGGGCAGGGUCCACAAUUUCUACUUUCUUAGCUUCCAAUUCUGCCAUGGCUACAAACAGAAUCAAGAAAACAGAGAAUUCUUGGAAAAAAAGAAGAUAUUUCAGUAGUUGGAGGAAGGUAACUGUCACCCUAAUUGAUUGGACAUACUAUAUAUAAAUUGGACCAUAGAAAACAAGAGAGAAAGAGGGACUAUUUUGGCUUAGC